Molecule: ribosomal RNA, 241 nt
Filed under: uncultured Staphylococcus sp.
Lineage: Bacteria; Bacillati; Bacillota; Bacilli; Caryophanales; Staphylococcaceae
Description: partial 16S ribosomal RNA
Rfam family: Bacterial small subunit ribosomal RNA
Source: RNAcentral
CGGACGGGUGAGUAACACGUGGAUAACCUACCUAUAAGACUGGGAUAACUUCGGGAAACCGGAGCUAAUACCGGAUAAUAUUUUGAACCGCAUGGUUCAAAAGUGAAAGACGGUCUUGCUGUCACUUAUAGAUGGAUCCGCGCUGCAUUAGCUAGUUGGUAAGGUAACGGCUUACCAAGGCAACGAUGCAUAGCCGACCUGAGAGGGUGAUCGGUCACACUGGAACUGAGACACGGUCCAG